Molecule: ribosomal RNA, 432 nt
Filed under: uncultured bacterium
Lineage: Bacteria
Description: partial 16S ribosomal RNA
Rfam family: Bacterial small subunit ribosomal RNA
Source: RNAcentral
AACGAACGCUGGCGGCAUGCCUAACACAUGCAAGUCGAACGAGACCUUCGGGUCUAGUGGCGCACGGGUGCGUAACGCGUGGGAACCUGCCCUUAGGUUCGGAAUAACUCCCCGAAAGGGGUGCUAAUACCGGAUAAUGUCUUCGGACCAAAGGUUUAUCGCCUUUGGAUGGGCCCGCGUUGGAUUAGCUAGUUGGUAGGGUAAAAGCCUACCAAGGCGACGAUCCAUAGCUGGUCUGAGAGGAUGAUCAGCCACACUGGGACUGAGACACGGCCCAGACUCCUACGGGAGGCAGCAGUGGGGAAUAUUGGACAAUGGGCGAAAGCCUGAUCCAGCAAUGCCGCGUGAGUGAUGAAGGCCUUAGGGUUGUAAAGCUCUUUUACCCGGGAUGAUAAUGACAGUACCGGGAGAAUAAGCUCCGGCUAACUCCGU